This 70-nucleotide transfer RNA is filed under the name Dipodomys ordii (Ord's kangaroo rat). It matches the Rfam family "tRNA". From Rfam's summary of the family: Transfer RNA (tRNA) molecules are approximately 80 nucleotides in length. Their secondary structure includes four short double-helical elements and three loops (D, anti-codon, and T loops). The record is from Rfam by way of RNAcentral. Lineage: Eukaryota; Metazoa; Chordata; Mammalia; Rodentia; Heteromyidae.
GGGAAGGUGGCUCAGUGGUAGAGUGCUUGCCUUGCAUGCAUAAGGCCCUGGGUUUCAUUCCUCAGCCCCA